GAUCCUGGCUCAGGAUGAACGCUGGCGGCGUGCUUAACACAUGCAAGUCGAGCGAAGCGCUUACGACAGAACCUUCGGGGGAAGAUGUAAGGGACUGAGCGGCGGACGGGUGAGGUAACGCGUGGGUAACCUGCCUUAUACAGGGGGAUAACAGUUGGAAACGGCUGCUAAUACCGCAUAAGCGCACAGUACCGCAUGGUACGGUGUGAAAAACUCCGGUGGUAUGAGAUGGACCCGCGUCUGAUUAG
RNAcentral lists this ribosomal RNA (248 nucleotides) under uncultured bacterium. Its description in RNAcentral is "partial 16S ribosomal RNA". It matches the Rfam family "Bacterial small subunit ribosomal RNA", at positions 15 to 244 of the family's 1533-position model. The record is from RNAcentral.